AUACGAAGGGGGCAAGCGUUGUUCGGAAUAACUGGGCGUAAAGCGCACGUAGGCGGAAUGUUAAGUUAGAGGUGAAAUCCCAGGGCUCAACCCUGGAUCGGCCUUUAAUACUGGCAAUCUAGAGACCGAGAGAGGUGAGUGGAAUUCCGAGUGUAGAGGUGAAAUUCGUAGAUAUUCGGAGGAACACCAGUGGCGAAGGCGGCUCACUGGCUCGGUACUGACGCUGAGGUGCGAAAGCGUGGGGAGCAAACAGGAUUAGAUACCCUAGUAGUCC
This 274-nucleotide ribosomal RNA is filed under the name uncultured bacterium. Its description in RNAcentral is "partial 16S ribosomal RNA". It matches the Rfam family "Bacterial small subunit ribosomal RNA", at positions 523 to 796 of the family's 1533-position model. The record is from RNAcentral.